This 253-nucleotide ribosomal RNA is filed under the name uncultured bacterium. RNAcentral describes it as "partial 16S ribosomal RNA". It matches the Rfam family "Bacterial small subunit ribosomal RNA", at positions 524 to 776 of the family's 1533-position model. The record is from RNAcentral.
UACGUAGGGGGCGAGCGUUAUCCGGAUUCACUGGGUGUAAAGGGAGCGUAGACGGCCAAGCAAGCCAGGGGUGAAAGCCCGGGGCCCAACCCCGGGACUGCCCUUGGAACUGCAUGGCUGGAGUGCGGGAGGGGCAAGCGGAAUUCCUGGUGUAGCGGUGAAAUGCGUAGAUAUCAGGAGGAACACCGGCGGCGAAGGCGGCCUGCUGGACUGCGACUGACGUUGAGGCUCGAAAGCGUGGGGAGCGAACAGG